This 163-nucleotide ribosomal RNA is filed under the name Rhizopogon verii. Its description in RNAcentral is "5.8S ribosomal RNA". It matches the Rfam family "5.8S ribosomal RNA". Rfam says of the family: 5.8S ribosomal RNA (5.8S rRNA) is a component of the large subunit of the eukaryotic ribosome. It is transcribed by RNA polymerase I as part of the 45S precursor that also contains 18S and 28S rRNA. Lineage: Eukaryota; Fungi; Basidiomycota; Agaricomycetes; Boletales; Rhizopogonaceae. The record is from RNAcentral.
CAACUUUCAGCAAUGGAUCUCUUGGCUCUCGCAUCGAUGAAGAACGCAGCGAAACGCGAUAUGUAAUGUGAAUUGCAGAUCUACAGUGAAUCAUCGAAUCUUUGAACGCACCUUGCGCUCCCUUGGUAUUCCGAGGAGCAUGCCUGUUUGAGUGUCAGUAAUU